UUCAAGUGAUUUUAUGUUUGUGGAGACUAUUAGAGGACAAAAAGAAUUCAAAAUCUAAACCAUUUGGUGCUACAUCGCUUAUCCCAGGUCUCACCUUUCCAACUUCCUGUUACCAAGAAUCGUCCAUUACACGAUCAAGUCAUUUGACAGUAGCUCAUAUGCUGUUUGCCUCCUCCACAAUUCCAUAUGGCUCUGUAAAAAUCAAAUAAUGAUGAUGAAAUACUUAUCAGCAGUACUGGUCUAUAUUAAGGAACUGCCAUUAAGCUUACCUCUUCAAAAUCCAUUGCUAAAUUCAUCAAUAUACUUCUGGCAAACUAAAGAAAGAUACAAAAUUGUUCUGUAAGCAAAAAAAA
Exaiptasia diaphana is the source of this 353-nucleotide long non-coding RNA. RefSeq lists it as uncharacterized. The transcript is spliced from 2 exons. NCBI's taxonomy places the organism in Eukaryota, Metazoa, Cnidaria, Anthozoa, Actiniaria, Aiptasiidae. The record is from RefSeq and is a predicted model, not a curated record.